This 65-nucleotide transfer RNA is filed under the name Camelus bactrianus (Bactrian camel). It matches the Rfam family "tRNA". From Rfam's summary of the family: Transfer RNA (tRNA) molecules are approximately 80 nucleotides in length. Their secondary structure includes four short double-helical elements and three loops (D, anti-codon, and T loops). Lineage: Eukaryota; Metazoa; Chordata; Mammalia; Artiodactyla; Camelidae. The record is from Rfam by way of RNAcentral. RNAcentral also lists the same sequence under 1 other name.
GGUAUAGCUCAGUGGUAGAGUGCAUGCUUAGCAUGCACGAGGUCCUGGGUUCAAUCCCCAGUACC